Myotis myotis is the source of this 1618-nucleotide long non-coding RNA. RefSeq lists it as uncharacterized. The transcript has 3 exons. The record is from RefSeq and is a predicted model, not a curated record. NCBI's taxonomy places the organism in Eukaryota, Metazoa, Chordata, Mammalia, Chiroptera, Vespertilionidae.
UCCGCUGACGUGCGGGCCCCUGGCUGGGCCCCCUCCGCACCGCCCGGAGAGCGCACCCCUGACUCAGCGCCUUCUGCGGGGGCCUGGCCGGGGUCAGCGCAGUCCCAGCCGGUCUGGACCGGAUGCCUCCUGCCCCGGGGGUCCAGGGCCAGGCCCGGUCGCCGGAGCGGACAGCGUCCAUGUUGGCGAGCGCCCUCUCCACGGGAGAGCCCGGCUCCAGUCAAGCCGCAGCGAGGCCGUGAGGAUCGAGCCUUGGGUCCGGGGCCUGCGGUGGGGCCUGAGGUCUGCGUUUCUGACGCGUUGGGGGCCCGCCGGCUGCGGAAACGGCAGAGAGAACAGCCUCAGUUUAUCUUUUUGCAAAGCUCUCCAACACGGGACUGUCAGGGACGCCAGCCACACCCUCCCACGUGGAGCUCCUGAGUCCGGGCGAUGGGUAGGAUUGCAUCGUCCCAUGUUACAGACGAGCAAACCGAGACCUGAGGAAGGUGCGGUGACUGGUGGCGGGUUUUGCAGUCAGGGCAGGGCCGCGGGAGCCCAGGAAGGGCUGUUGGGGGAUGCGCUCCCCGUUCUGUGUGUCUGUGUCCACGCACACAGGUGUGCGCCUGUGCGUGUGCGUGUCUGUACGUGAGCAUGACGCGCGUGCCUGUGCAGCUGUGUGGGCGGGGCUGCGGGUGCUGCAGGAGCAGGAAUUGGGGCCCAGUGGGGAGCGGAGGGUGGCGCCUGGGCCCUGUGCCGAGGGCUCUGGCCUUGUCCUGCAGCGCACGGGCGACAUGGUGGCCGUUUUGGGUGGGAAGCGUGUGGGCACUGAGAGCAGCUGAGGGUGGAUCUGGGAGAGGCUCGGAGGCGGGGGGAGGCCCGCAGCUCUGACCCGGCCCGGCCCUCGGAGCCCAGAUGUGCGGGCGGCCCGCUGGAAGUCACUGGAGCUGAGGAGCUGCGUGUGGGGUCCUCGCGUCUCCGCCGUGAGUCUCAUUGGCCCUGGCCUCCAGCUGACAGCCACAGCCCUGGGCCUGGAAGGCGCUCUGCCUCCCCUGGCAAAGCCGAGUGUCAGCCACCUCCCUUCCUUGCCGGGUCAUUCGUGGGCGCGGAGAGAGAAGUCAGCACCCGGCGGCAGGAAAAGAAAAAGCCUGGGGCGCAGCUAGCUGCCCAGGGACCCGGAACCCGAACCCGGGGAGCGAAGGCCGUGGCCAGGGCCCGGGCUCUUGAGCUGCGUCCAGCGCCUGGGCUGCGGCCCCAGGUCCCAGGGGGCGUCUCGGGGUCGCAGGGCAGGGAGGUGUUUGCUCAGGAGGGAGCUCAGGUGAGACCCUCAGCGCCGGAGUCCGAGCUGGUCACGCACCCUCACCCGGAAGGCGCCUGGCCCUGCAGUGUUACCUGUUUCCAAACGCCCGCAGGGACCCGGGGUCGCCAGGCCUCCCGCUGGCCCUGGGACGGAGCAUCGGCCAGAGGGUACGGCCGGGCGAGUGCAGGUCUAAGUUUAACACCAGACACCAGCUCAUGUCACACUCGCCCCUGGGAGUGAGUUUCCUGUCCUGUGUGAGAGUCAGUGUGUGCAUGAGAGUGUGAGUGAAUGUAAGCAUAUGUGUGUGUAAGUGUGUGUGUGAGCGUGUGUGUGAGCAUGUGU